RNAcentral lists this transfer RNA (73 nucleotides) under Felis catus (domestic cat). It matches the Rfam family "tRNA". From Rfam's summary of the family: Transfer RNA (tRNA) molecules are approximately 80 nucleotides in length. Lineage: Eukaryota; Metazoa; Chordata; Mammalia; Carnivora; Felidae. The record is from Rfam by way of RNAcentral.
ACCUGGCUGGCUCAGUCGGUAGGGCGUGUGACUCUUGAUCUCAGGGUUGUGAGUUUGAGCCCCAAGUUGGGUG